This 352-nucleotide ribosomal RNA is filed under the name Mytilus edulis (blue mussel). RNAcentral describes it as "SSU rRNA". It matches the Rfam family "Eukaryotic small subunit ribosomal RNA", at positions 605 to 954 of the family's 1831-position model. The record is from RNAcentral. Lineage: Eukaryota; Metazoa; Mollusca; Bivalvia; Mytilida; Mytilidae.
UAAAGUUGUUGCACUUAAAAAGCUCGUAGUUGGAUCUCGGGUCCAGGCUGGCGGUCCGACCCCUGUCGGUUACUGCCUGCUCCUGACCUACCUCCCGGUUUUUUCGCCCUUGGUGCUCUUGACUGAGUGUCUCGGGUGGCCGGAACGUUUACUUUGAAAAAAUUAGAGUGUUCAAAGCAGGCAAUAUCGCCUGAAUAAUGGUGCAUGGAAUAAUGGAAUAGGACCUCGGUUCUAUUUUGCUGGUUUUCGGAGCUCGAGGUAAUGAUUAAGAGGGACUGACGGGGGCAUUCGUAUUACGGUGUUAGAGGUGAAAUUCGGGGAUCGCCGUAAGACGAACUACCUGCGAAAGCAU